RNAcentral lists this long non-coding RNA (2897 nucleotides) under Sus scrofa (pig). RNAcentral describes it as "lncRNA (ENSSSCG00000062335.1)". The record is from RNAcentral. Lineage: Eukaryota; Metazoa; Chordata; Mammalia; Artiodactyla; Suidae.
ACAUGGAAGUUCCCAGGCCAGGGGUUGAAUUAGAGCGGCAACCGCCAGCCUACACCACAGACAUGGCAAUGUGCUAGAUCUGAGCCAUGUCUGCUACUUAUACCACAGCUUGUGGCAACGCUGGAUCCUUAACCCACUGAGCGAGGCCAGGGAUCAAACGCACAUCCUAACAAACACUAUGUCGGGUUCUUAACUUGGUGAGCCACAAUGGGAACUGCGGUGACAAUAUUUAAUUUUCCUUAUUAAAUACCAUUAUUUUUCAUGGCCACUUCAUUUUCUCUGAAGAAUAAUUUAAAAACUAUGAGAAGGAAAAUAAAUCUUUUCAGCCAGUCAACUAGUUUUUCUUUAAAAGAUUUUUUGAAACACAAAUGAACUUCUGAUCAAAACCUAGGCAUACAGCUGCUUUCUAGAACAGUCUUGUGAGUUCCUGACUCACCCUAAGCCAUCUUCAUGCCAUAUUGCACUCCUACCCUAGUUCUUCCACUAUCUAUUCUGGUUAAUGUGCUUAUGAUAAUUCUCUCUUGCGAAUAAUCUUUGGAUUCCAAGUUAUAUAAAUGACUAUGAAAAUGAUUUUCUUAAGCAAGCCAUUUAAAACUAUCAUGGAUUAGCCUUUAUUUAGACUUUUGUUUGAUAUUCAAAUUAAUGUGUAAUAUGAACAAUAAUGAAAACUAAUUCGGUUAGAAGUAGUAUUGCAAUAUUUAAACUUUCAUUAAUUUGCAUAGGUUUUGCCUACCUUUUUCUGAAUUAAAGUAGUUAUGCACUAAACAUUCAGAUGUAAAAGGGUAAUAAAAGAAUAUUAAAAAUAAAAUAAAAUCGAGCAAAUGAGUAUGCACAGUUUUUAUUCCUUCUGUGGAAAUCUCACAGCAUAAGAGUACAUUGUUCUGUCAAAACCUCUUAUCACAUUGUAUUAUAAUUACUGUUUAUAGCCUAUUUCUCUGUCUAGGUAGAGAACGUCAGGAGAUCUUAACCUAUUAAUCUUUGGAUCCCAAGUUCUGACAUAAUAUCUGGCAAGUAAAGAAUGCUCAGCAUAAAUGCAUUAAAUGAAAGACUAAGUGAGGAGAGAGAAUGUGUGGAAUUUCCUCAUUCUGGCAUUUAUGGUGCAUGACCUCUUACCUCUUAGCUCAGUUGAAUCUUAGCCUCCUCAUCUGCAAUAUGGAUGAAAUAAGGAGUUGUAAGGAGCCUCAAAAGAUACCCUGUGUGUAUGGUAUAGAGAGUUGCGUGGGGCAUGGUUAACUUUUGUAUCCUCUGGCUCAAUCAGAGCUGAUUAAUUUACAAUGUGUCAAAUACAGGGCUAGGUACUGGGACUCCACCUAGUACCUUUCCUCAUGGAGUUGAAAAUCUAGUGGGAGCUGAUGCCAGGUAAAUGGGCAACUGCAAUAACACACUGUGAUAAAGGUUGGGCAAAUUAUAGGAUGCUCAGGAGCACACUGGAGAAUCUUUACCAGAGCCUUAAGGAGUCUGGGGAGGAUUCUUAGAGAAUGUGAUAUCUAAGAUUGAUGUUAUGACAGGCAAUGGAGGAGGAAGUGAAAAGACUAGGAGGAAUGAGUGAGAGGAAUGUUUCCAAAUUGCACAGAAAAAUAUCUAAGUUAAAUUAGCCUUUUCUUCCAUCAUGUAGGAAGUUUUCUCUUUGGAACUAAAUUUACACAAAUUUCCUAGCUUAUAACCUUACUUACCACUUUUGUGAUUUGGUAAAUGUUCUAGCAAAAGAAACAGCAAAAUCCCAUCUUAACAAUGCCCCCCCCCAAAAAAAAAUUGCUAAUAGUGUUCCUAAAUACAUUGUAUAUAAGUAAAUUAGUUAAAAAAAUGUUUUUAAGUAAGUGUUUUACUACUGAGUGAUUUUGCUUCUCAUAUAUUAGAUAUUCUUUGGUUUCCUUAAGGUAAAAAGAAUACUCUUCACAGAAAUAUUUAUAUUGACAGAACUAGCAGUUGACUGGAUUCUGUCACAUUAUAUUGCUAUUUGUGACUAAUCAUCACAUACUGAGUAUAUUACCAUUUUAUAAUGUGAAGAGUAGUGAAAAUAACAUGAGUAAACAAACAAACAAAAAAAUCAAGGCUGGAUUCUUGGUGUAGUCAUGAACUAGAUUUGUAGCUUCAGGCCUAUCACUUAAAUUCUAUUAGAUUUAAUCAUUAUUUUCUUUAUCUUCCUCAUUCACUCUUUAAACAACAUGGAAACAAUGAAAGAAGGUAGAAAUUAGUGGCAUUUAAAAAUGAUUUAAGUAUGGGUAAGUCCUAAGAGUUAAAAAAAAAACAAAAACUUCCAUAUUAUCACCUUACAUUUCAAUUAUGUGAAUUCUAGACUAAGAACUAAAUCUCCUUGAGCACUAUUUAAAAUACAAAUGUAAAUUAUAUGUUUUACUGAAUCAUUUGUUUACAAUAUAAUUACCAUCAGGUAUCCAUGUGUUAAAUGGACUAUACUAACAUCAGUAAAGGAACAUUUUAAAAAUAAUAUUGAUAAAUCCAGAUGUCCAACAUAUUAAAUAAAACUGAGAUCAAAAGAAUUAUGAGUUUUUAAUGAGAUCCUUAGGUAUUUUUUUCCAGAAAUUUGGAUUGUAAAUAUGCUUAACAGAGCAAUUUUAUAAGCUGAAGGGAGGAAAUGAGCUAUGAAUUAAUUCUUUUGAUAUUCAUAUCAUAAUGCAAGAGUUCACUUUGGUCAUUUUGACCCCUCAAGAAUUACAUCCUCUAUUCUUUCUAAAAAUAGCGUACACUAGAAAAAUCUGGUGCCUUUCUGGUCCCUGAUAAAACCAAAUUGCUAAUUACCUUGGAAGAUGAACAUGGCUUCAAACCAUAUAGUAUUUAUUACACGAGUUAUUAUUUUUCCAUCCCCAAAUUUCCUAAUGAUAAGAAACAGCCUAUUUUAAUCAAAUUGGCUUCCCUUCUGCUCCUUAAGUGCAAGAGAC